GAAGUCGGAAUCGCUAGUAAUCGUAGAUCAGAAUGCUACGGUGAAUACGUUCCCGGGCCUUGUACACACCGCCCGUCACACCAUGGGAGUGGGUUGCAAAAGAAGUAGGUAGCUUAACCUUCGGGAGGGCGCUUACCACUUUGUGAUUCAUGACUGGGGUGAAGUCGUAACAAGGUAACCGUAGGGGAACCUGCGGUUGGAUCACCUCCUUACCUUAAA
This 219-nucleotide ribosomal RNA is filed under the name Klebsiella pneumoniae. RNAcentral describes it as "partial 16S ribosomal RNA". It matches the Rfam family "Bacterial small subunit ribosomal RNA", at positions 1322 to 1533 of the family's 1533-position model. The record is from RNAcentral. Lineage: Bacteria; Pseudomonadati; Pseudomonadota; Gammaproteobacteria; Enterobacterales; Enterobacteriaceae.